RNAcentral lists this ribosomal RNA (467 nucleotides) under uncultured bacterium. RNAcentral describes it as "partial 16S ribosomal RNA". It matches the Rfam family "Bacterial small subunit ribosomal RNA", at positions 28 to 506 of the family's 1533-position model. The record is from RNAcentral.
GACGAACGCUGGCGGCGUGCUUAACACUUGCAAGUCGAACGGAAAGGCCCUGCUUUUGUGGGGUGCUCGAGUGGCGAACGGGUGAGUAACACGUGAGUAACCUGCCCUUGACUUUGGGAUAACUUCAGGAAACUGGGGCUAAUACCGGAUAGGAGCUCCUGCUGCAUGGUGGGGGUUGGAAAGUUUCGGCGGUUGGGGAUGGACUCGCGGCUUAUCAGCUUGUUGGUGGGGUAGUGGCUUACCAAGGCUUUGACGGGUAGCCGGCCUGAGAGGGUGACCGGCCACAUUGGGACUGAGAUACGGCCCAGACUCCUACGGGAGGCAGCAGUGGGGAAUAUUGCACAAUGGGCGGAAGCCUGAUGCAGCAACGCCGCGUGCGGGAGGACGGCCUUCGGGUUGUAAACCGCUUUCGCCUGUGACGAAGCGUGAGUGACGGUAAUGGGUAAAGAAGCACCGGCUAACUACGU